UACGUAGGCGGUUUAUUAAGUCAGAUGUGAAAGCCCCGGGCUUAACCUGGGAACUGCAUUUGAUACUGGUAAACUAGAGUAUGGUAGAGGGGGGUAGAAUUCCUAGUGUAGCGGUGAAAUGCGUAGAUAUUAGGGGGAAUACCAGUGGCGAAGGCGGCCCCCUGGACCAAUACUGGCGCUGAGGUACGAAAGCGUGGGUAGCGAACA
RNAcentral lists this ribosomal RNA (207 nucleotides) under uncultured bacterium. Its description in RNAcentral is "partial 16S ribosomal RNA". It matches the Rfam family "Bacterial small subunit ribosomal RNA", at positions 568 to 774 of the family's 1533-position model. The record is from RNAcentral.